GUGAAUCUUUUUCUGUCCUGAGAAUGACUACAUGCCCAGUGGAGCAUCCUGGAACCGCAUAAAUGUGCAAAAGGGCCCCUCGGCCAUCUCCACUGAAGGACCAAACUUUCUUAGAGGAACGUGAAGCAGUCAGACAAGGCACCAGGACCGGGAUCACUUUGAAGUUGGUCCUGGGGUUUGGCUUUAAGAAAAAGAAAUGCACUUAAGAUAAUCCAGUAAUGAAAGAACACACACAAGCCUGGCAAUGGAGGACAAGUCAAAGAAACCACCAAGAGGAGGCCUUGGCGACACUCUCCUGCGGUCAAAUGGCUGUAGCAGGCUGGAUGUGCGUUGCAUUUUGUGCUCUGUCAAUCACAGCCCACACCACGCAACAUAGAUUAGUAUCUUGUCCUCUCCUGACAAGCUCCUCCCUGUUGUAAAUAUACUUUCUGUUUUCUAUACUGUAAUGAGGCUAUUUUGCAAAUAUUAAACCAAUCUGU
This is a long non-coding RNA of Apodemus sylvaticus (European woodmouse), 479 nucleotides long. RefSeq lists it as uncharacterized. Lineage: Eukaryota; Metazoa; Chordata; Mammalia; Rodentia; Muridae. The transcript is spliced from 3 exons. The record is from RefSeq and is a predicted model, not a curated record.